UGUCAUGAUAGAGCACAUGUCAUUUGCAGAGAGAGAGCAAGACGAGGUGUACCCUGCCUGCUGUCUCCUUGCACCUCGGUAAGACGAGGUGUACCCUGCCUGCUGUCUCCUUGCACCUCGGUAAGACGAGGUGUACCCUGCCUGCUGUCUCCUUUUGCACCUCGGUAACCUUUUGAUAACUACUCAACGCUGCACAGCACAGGAUUCAGCAUUCAAUCACUCUCAUAAUUUUAUUGUCAUUUCAUCUUUUAUGGGGGACGCCCCACUCUUAAUUUUUAUCGCUGCUGACGUACGUAUAUAUAAGAGCACUACAAGAUACGACAGGAAAGGGUCAGUAUAAUAAUUAUGUAUUGUCCCAUGCACAGUGAUGCUUUAAUAUUAUAUAGAUCUCCAAGCGCAUCACUAUGAAUUAUCUGCUGUAUUUCAUAUUUUAAUGAUGUAUUAUUAUGGAUGUAUGGAUGGUGUUAUGAUUCUUAGCCUUCCAGCUGGAGGAGAUGAUCGGCUCUGAGUAGGGUUAGGCUGGGGGAUGGACUGGAGUCACUGGACCCACCUCUGAGAGACAAAGGGCCAGUUACUGUAUCAUGCAGUGUAUGUGAUUUUCUGACAGGAAAGGCUACUCUAAACAGAGGGAAUCGGCCACACAAGAGAGGACUCCCAUGGUGGCAAUGAUCUGAUGAUGGCUCUGAUGGACCAAUGCAGGAGAAGUUAUUCUGUAUAAUUAUUACACUAAAUUAAUGUAUGCCACUGUUUGGAUCGGUUUCUGUUCUGCUCAGCUUCUUCCUCCAACUUGCUUACGCAGGCUAAGCUUAUUCUUAGUUCAUUCUUAGUUCAUUCUUAGUUUCUUCUAUAGUCUAGUAUUAUUAUCGGUUUGGUUGUUUAUGUUUUUCACCUGGUCAUACGGAAUCACGUCAUUAUUAUUAUUAACAGUGUGCAGACCACACCUCUAUCCACACAUUGUAUCUGCACAUCCUGUAUAUAUGGGGCCACACCCCCACUCACUGUACUGAUAUGUGGUCACACCCCCAUACAUGGUAACCCUCUUGACCACACCUCCACUCAUGCAUUGUGUCGUACAUGCUGUGUUUUUGUGUACAGUACACACAUCAUCCGUGUCUUUAUCCCCACACCUAGUCGGAGGGAGCAGCAAGUUCUACUAAGAGCCAGCAUCACCAACUAACCAACACACUACAAGACCUACCUACUACCAGCUAGGACAGCACACCACCCGGGACAGACUCUACUAUACCAUGUAAUACGCCUUUGUAUUACGAUCAUGAUACAAUUUGCUGCCCUCCCUCGCCCAUGGAUUGAAUAAUUAUGGACGAGACUGACACACAAUAAUAGACACCAAAGGGCCAGUUACUGUAUCAUGUACGAAUAUUCUGUUGCUUGUACAUUUCGUAACAUUAUCAGUAAUUGACUGUAGAGUAGCUCCCCUUUCUUCAUCACUCAAUGCAGGCAGUGUAUGUGAUUUUCUGACAGGAAAGGCUACUCUAAACAGAGGGAGUCGGCCACACAAGGUAUAGUCUAAUAAUUAUUGUACGGUACUCUCUGUUUUGGGUCAGAUGCAAUUGACUAGCCAGUUUAAAACAUUUCUUCUACUCUUGGCUUAAGAAAUUGUAUUUUAUUAUUGUACCAGUAUUAGGUAGUUAACUCCACUUAUGCAUUGACCUCUACUACUGUGUAGCGGGAAAGUUCAUUAUUUGAGCCCUCGAGAAAUGCUGUAUAGUUGUUCUCAUUUCAAUGCCAGGAAACCAUAGCUUUGCAUGGUGCGUGGGAGUGUCUUCUAUUUUUAUUACAUGAAGUGUGAAGUGUGUUGUAAGUUUGUACAGACCCAUGGUCUGAUGAUGGCUCCACUGCUCUGAUGGACCAAUGCAGGAGAAGUUAUUCUGUAUGAUUAUUACACUAAAUUAAUGUAUGCCACUGUUUGGAUCGGUUUCUGUUCUGCUCAGCUUCUUCCUCCAACUUGCUUACGCAGGCUAAGCUUAUUCUUAAUUAGUUCAUUCUAUAGUCUAGUAUUAUUGUCGGUUUGGUUGUUUUAUGUUUUUCACCUGGUCAUACGGAAUCACUUCAUUAUUAUCAGUGCAGACCACACCUCUAUCCACACAUUGUACCUGCACAUCCUGUAUAUAUGGGGCCACACCCCCACUCACUGUACUGAUAUGUGGUCACACCCCCAUACAUGGUAACCCUCUUGACCACACCUCCACUCAUGCAUUGUGUCGUACAUGCUGUGUUUUUAUGUACAGUACACACAUCAUCCGUGUCUUUAUCCCCACACCUAGUCGGAGGGAGCAGCAAGUUCUACUAAGAGCCAGCAUCACCAACUAACCAACACACUACAAGACCUACCUACUACCAGCUAGGACAGCACACCACCCGGGACUUAAUACGCCUUUGUAUUACGAUCAUGAUACAAUUUGCUGCCCUCCCUCACCCAUGGAUUGAAUGAUUAUGGACACUCGCAGGACAACUAAGAGACUGACACACAAUAAUAGACACCAAAGGCAGUGUAUGUUAUUUUCUGACAGGAAAGGCUACUCUAAACAGAGGGAGUCGGCCACACAAGGUAUAGUCUAAUAAUUAUUGUACGGUACUCUCUGUUUUGGGUCAGAUGCAAUUGACUAGCCAGUUUAAAACAUUUCUUCUACUCUUGGCUUAAGAAGUUGUAUUUUAUUAUUGUACCAGUAUUAGGUAGUUAACUCCACUUAUGCAUUGACCUCUACUACUGUGUAGCGUAAAAGUUCGUUAUUUGAGCCCUCGAGAAAUGUUGUAUAGUUGUUCAUAUUUCAAUGCCAGGAAACCAUAGCUUUGCAUGGUGCGUGGGAGUUUCUUCCAUUUAUAUUACAUGAAGUGUGUUGUAAGUUUGUAUAGAGAGGACUCCCAUGGUGGCAAUGAUCUGAUGAUGGCUCCACUGCUCUGAUGGACCAAUGCAGGAGAAGUUAUUCUGUAUAAUUAUUACACUAAAUUAAUGUAUGCCACUGUUUGGAUCGGUUUCUGUUCUGCUCAGCUUCUUCCUUCAACUUGCUUACGCAGGCUAAGCUUAUUCUUAAUUAGUUCAUUCUUAGUUCAUUCUAUAGUCUAGUAUUAUUGUCGGUUUGGUUGUUUUAUGUUUUUCACCUGGUCAUAUGGAAUCACUUCAUUAUUAUCAGUGCAGACCACACCUCUAUCCACACAUUGUACCUGCACAUCCUGUAUAUAUGGGGCCACACCCCCACUCACUGUACUGAUAUGUGGUCACACCCCCAUACAUGGUAACCCUCUUGACCACACCUCCACCCAUGCAUUGUGUCGUACAUGCUGUGUUUUUGUGUACAGUACACAUCAUCCGUGUCUUUAUCCCCACACCUAGUCGGAGGGAGCAGCAAGUUCUACUAAGAGCCAGCAUCACCAACUAACCAACACUACAAGACCUACCUACUACCAGCUAGGACAGCACACCACCCGGGACAGACUCUACUAUACCAUGUAAUACGCCUUUUUAUUAUGAUCAUGAUACAAUUUGCUGCCCUCCCUUGCCCAUGGAUUGAAUAAACAACUAAGAGACUGACACACAAUAAUAGACACCUAACUGCAUUUUUGCCAUUAAUAUAAUAAAAAUAAUUUUGCCAUUAAUUAAUCAUUAA
Molecule: long non-coding RNA, 3626 nt
Organism: Halichondria panicea
Lineage: Eukaryota; Metazoa; Porifera; Demospongiae; Suberitida; Halichondriidae
Exons: 5
Source: RefSeq, a predicted model, not a curated record